AGAGCCUCAUUUUCAUGAGUGGAUGCAGCAAGUGAACGUGCUUUUUCACAUUACUCCAUCACCAUCCCCUUCUGCCGACUCUGGAGAGCAACUGUGCGCAAAGCAUCCAGCUGGGAUUCCCACUAACCAACUCCGAUUCCAGGGCUGAGAGAGUUCAGGAUCUGAGGAAUGACUCAAAGACCACAUGGAGUUGGGCUGUGCAUGUUUUCUUUGAGUGUGGGCCAGUAGAGACCGUGGCCUCACAUAAUUUUUCUGCCGGGUGUGGAAGUGUGCCACAGAAAGAUGAUUCAUGAGAAGAAAUUGUCGACUUUCUGCCUGGAACGGAGUGGAAAAAACUUGGUUGAAAAAAUCCCAGACAUGCACACAGAAGACACAUGGAACCAAAUUUAUAUCUUUAGCUUUGGGAAUCUACAUUCAUCAUUUCUCUCACUUGACGUGAAAAAGGGACCUCCCUCUUCUCCUGAGAGCCAAACCGAGCGCGGCAACAACUCAGCAGCAGCAGCAGGUCCCAAGGAGAUGCGGAGUAACUGGCACAGGGCGCCCCGCAUCCUGCCCGCGGGUUACUUUGAAAUGACUCCUGCAGGUUUUCCUGUUGUUCAUUUAAUCAGAGUUACCUCCUGAAAGAAGCGACGGGGGCAGCGAAGCACUCUUGUAAGGUGUGAUUUGUCCUGGGUCUGCUGCUCCACAUGGGCGGCCCUGGCCACUUCCAUUAAUAGUAACAGGGACACACUGCAUAACCACUAAGGGUCAGCUACCACCCUGGGCGCUGAAACAAAGAAACAGAAUUCCUGGCCUGGAAAGACCUUAAAGGUAAAGAAGCAUCUCAUACUCUAUUGCCCUCCCCGAGCUUGUCCAGGUCUGUCAUGUAGAAUGUGCUUAAUAGAUAUUUGAUAUACCAAUGAGUGAAUAAAUGGAUGUACCAUCUAUUCAUAGAUAAUUCAUGCCUGUAGAGAGAGAUGAGUGACAAAGUAUUAAAGAGGAAGGAAUUGAGACAGCUGUCAACUGCCUGCUCCCAGGGAGGUGUUCCUGACUGCUGAGAAAGGGCUGGGACUGGGCCAGGGCUUCCUUCUGGGUCUACAGGACUUCCUGGGGCUCAGAGGUGGGGCCUUGAAGGUCUGGCCAGGUGGUUGUAAAGGUGGGACAAGAUCAUUCACAACCCUGUGCUUCUCUCUCCAAGUGGCCUGGAGCUGCCAGCCUGGGUCAAGAUUCCAGAAUCAAGGGUGUGGGCCUGAAAGGGGAACAGCCCACCUCCAGAGCAAAGGGAUGCAGCCUGGGGCGAGUGGCGGCUUUGGGCUGUGGUUGUCAGGGUAUGUCCAAGGUCAAACCACAAGUUACAGCUGUGCGCUCAGCCCUCCACUUACUUAUUUUAUUUAAUUUAUUUUUCAUCUGCAAAUCUCAGACUCCCAAUUUAUCCCUUCCCACCUCCUUCCCCCUCUGUUAACCAUCAGUUUGUUUUCUAUGCCAAG
Molecule: long non-coding RNA, 1466 nt
Organism: Camelus dromedarius (Arabian camel)
Lineage: Eukaryota; Metazoa; Chordata; Mammalia; Artiodactyla; Camelidae
Exons: 3
Source: RefSeq, a predicted model, not a curated record